GAUGAACGCGGGCGGCGUGCCUAGUACAUGCAAGUCGAGCGAACAGACGAGGAGCUUGCUCCUCUGACGUUAGCGGCGGACGGGUGAGUAACACGUGGAUAACCUACCUAUAAGACUGGGAUAACUUCGGGAAACCGGAGCUAAUACCGGAUAAUAUAUUGAACCGCAUGGUUCAAUAGUGAAAGACGGUUUUGCUGUCACUUAUAGAUGGAUCCGCGCCGCAUUAGCUAGUUGGUAAGGUAACGGCUUACCAAGGCGACGAUGCGUAGCCGACCUGAGAGGGUGAUCGGCCACACUGGAACCGAGACACGGUCCAGACUCCUACGGGAGGCAGCAGUAGGGAAUCUUCCGCAAUGGGCGAAAGCCUGACGGAGCAACGCCGCGUGAGUGAUGAAGGUCUUCGGAUCGUAAAACUCUGUUAUUAGGGAAGAACAAAUGUGUAAGUAACUAUGCACGUCUUGACGGUACCUAAUCAGAAAGCCACGGCUAACUACGUG
This 497-nucleotide ribosomal RNA is filed under the name uncultured bacterium. RNAcentral describes it as "partial 16S ribosomal RNA". It matches the Rfam family "Bacterial small subunit ribosomal RNA", at positions 28 to 507 of the family's 1533-position model. The record is from RNAcentral.